GUUGAACGCUGGCGGCAGGCCUAACACAUGCAAGUCGAGCGGAUGAAGGGAGCUUGCUCCUGGAUUCAGCGGCGGACGGGUGAGUAAUGCAUAGGAAUAUGCCUGGUAGUUGGGGAUAACGUCCGGAAACGAGCCCUGAUACCGCAUACGUCCUGAGAGAGAACGUGGGGGUUCUUCGGACCUCGCGCUAUCAGAUGAGCCUAGGUCGGAUUAGCUAGUUGGUGGGGUAAAGGCCUACCAAGGCGACGAUCCGUAACUGGUCUGAGAGGAUGAUCAGUCACACUGGAACUGAGACACGGUCCAGACUCCUACGGGAGGCAGCAGUGGGGAAUAUUGGACAAUGGGCGAAAGCCUGAUCCAGCCAUGCCGCGUGUGUGAAGAAGGUCUUCGGAUUGUAAAGCACUGUAAUUUGGGAGGAAGGGCAGUAAGUGAAUACCUUGCUGUUUUGACGUUACCAACAGAAUAAGCACCGGCUAACUUCGUG
This 484-nucleotide ribosomal RNA is filed under the name uncultured bacterium. Its description in RNAcentral is "partial 16S ribosomal RNA". It matches the Rfam family "Bacterial small subunit ribosomal RNA", at positions 28 to 507 of the family's 1533-position model. The record is from RNAcentral.